This 465-nucleotide ribosomal RNA is filed under the name uncultured bacterium. RNAcentral's name for it is "partial 16S ribosomal RNA". It matches the Rfam family "Bacterial small subunit ribosomal RNA", at positions 338 to 795 of the family's 1533-position model. The record is from RNAcentral.
CCUACGGGAGGCAGCAGUAGGGAAUCUUCCACAAUGGGCGAAAGCCUGAUGGAGCAACGCCGCGUGGGUGAAGAAGGUCUUCGGAUCGUAAAACCCUGUUGUUAGAGAAGAAAGUGCGUGAGAGUAACUGUUCACGUUUCGACGGUAUCUAACCAGAAAGCAACGGCUAACUACGUGACAGCAGCCGCGGUAAUACGUAGGUGGCAAGCGUUAUCCGGAUUUAUUGGGCGUAAAGGGAACGCAGGCGGUCUUUUAAGUCUGAUGUGAAAGCCUUCGGCUUAACCGGAGUAGUGCAUUGGAAACUGGGAGACUUGAGUGCAGAAGAGGAGAGUGGAACUCCAUGUGUAGCGGUGAAAUGCGUAGUUAUAUGGAAGAACACCAGUGGCGAAAGCGGCUCUCUGGUCUGUAACUGACGCUGAGGUUCGAAAGCGUGGGUAGCAAACAGGAUUAGAUACCCCAGUAGUC